This 116-nucleotide ribosomal RNA is filed under the name Chlorophorus kanekoi. RNAcentral describes it as "partial 16S ribosomal RNA". Lineage: Eukaryota; Metazoa; Arthropoda; Insecta; Coleoptera; Cerambycidae. The record is from RNAcentral.
AAAAUUUUAAAGGUCGAACAGACCUAAUAUUCUAGCUUCUGCACCAGAACUUUAUUUUAAUCCAACAUCGAGGUCGCAAACUCUUCUUUCAAUAUGAACUCUCCAGAAAAAUUACG